CUAAAUCCUCUGCAGUUCAGCUGCUUCUCAUUCAAACAGUAGGUCAGUGAUUUGCCUUUGAUCUCACAGCUGUUUAGGAUGCAGUCAUUAACGAGACACACACACACACACACACACACACACACAUUCUUGUACUUGUUGCUUUAUGAGGUCUACCUUGCAGUUCAGCUGCUUGUACACACAGUUAAUAUGUGUCUGCUUCACCACCUAUCUCCACCCACAAACUUUGAGCUACAGAAACCAUUCUGGGCUUCUAAAAUUCAGCUCAUUGAAGAUAUUAUGGGGUGUUUUGAGGAUUGUGAUAAUAAAUUGUAUUAAUGUGUUUAGCAGAGUCUUGUGUUCUCACAAGCUCCUUAUCAGGAAUAGAUACAGAGGAUGAGCGUCAGGGCCUACUUGGAGUCCUGUUUCCUUAGCUUCAAGCCUUCUUUCUCCUGCUAUAGUUAUGCAUCCAAGGUCCCCAUGGCAACCAAUUAGUGCACCUGGAGACACACAGCUGACUGGAAAGCUGCUUCUAAUGGCCAUAUGAGACACAUGAAGCCAGGCUCAGUACACAUAGCACUGGGGAUGACACUUAAAACCCUUUCCUAGAGCGCUUGAAAAAACUUCAGCCCCUAUCUCCUCACAUGACCUUUGACCUACAGAAACCAUUCAGGGCUUUAAAAUUUAAGCUCAUUGAGGACAUUAUGGGGUGUAUUUAGGAUUUAUAUUCAUUUAAAUUUUUCACAUUUUAAAGUCACUCAGUGAUGAUUUAUCAUUUAAUUUUUCAAACUAAUUUGAACUGAUUCAAACUGAUUCAAACCUUUCUAAUACUUAAAAAAUUAAACUUAUGCCACUUCCCACCUUCCUGCCUUUUAAGGCAAUUUCCUUCUUCAUUCAAACUUUGUGCAAUUUUAGACAUUUUUCUAGCCUCUUUCAGCAUGAAUAAAAUUUCUUUUUAUAGAGCAUAUUCAUACUAUUUGUCCUUCAACCAAUUAAUCAAUUAUCCAACUUACAUUUCUUUCACACCCCUUCAACAGCUUUAACAUUUAUACCUUUCUCCAUGUUUUAUUAGCAGUUUAGCAUUGCUUUUUCAGCUUUCAGCACUCAGCAUUUCCACGCAUUUUCUGCAAGGAAAUGCAAUUUUUCUAGUUAUUAUUAUUAUUAUUAUUAUUCUUCCGCCGUUUUUCGUCCGCUUUCAACUCCUUCCCAGUUUGUGCGAUUUCAACCGUUCAAACUUUAAACUAUUCCACUCCUUCAGGACACGUUUGCUAUUACUUUUCACUUUUCUAACAUUUAUACUUUUUGUUUUUUUUAACUUUUUGUGCAAAAAUUUUAACAUUGAAGUCAAUGGGGAAAUCUUCCAAUUCUUCCUUUUAUUCUUCCACCUUCUAGACCUUAUAACUUCAGCAUACUUUCACCUAGAGACCUCAUUUUUGCUUUAAAAUGUUCAUUCACUUGUCGACUAUUAAAGUUGUACUCAGUUUUUUUAUAUCUCUUACAGUUUUUCCACAAUUUAGCUUUAAGCAACUUGUGGUUUUCAGCAAAUUUCAAGCUUUAUAAUGGGUGUGUAUUGGAGAGUUUAGAGUGAUGAUGUCAUCAGCUAGAGUGCAGACCUCGUCUCUGAUCGACAGAACCUCGCUCGAAUAUAUCGCUCCCACGCCCACAAAUCUCACUCCACUGACACAAAUAAUACAUCAAAAUGGAGGUAUAUGUGUCCUGCUUCUCACAAAAGAGGUUUCAAAUAAUUAAAUCGUACCCCUUGGCCAGCAGGUGACCAACUGUCCAAAAAAGGCAGAAAUCUCUCCCAUUGACCGUAAUGUAAUUUGUCUCCAAGAAAAUCCGGAUCAUCGCUCAGGCUCAGACUUUUUUAACUCGCUGUUGUGGCCACAUUUUUCGGAGUACAGACAUGAAAAACACAUCAUUGUGUUCAUGAAGGGCGGAGGAUUCGUACGAUGUUCUUAUUUUCAUUCUGGGACUUAAGGAAAUCACGCUAUGUGAAGAAGUUUAGAGCCUCUAAAUCCUCUGCAGUUCAGCUGCUUCUCAUUCAAACAGUAGGUCAGUGAUUUGCCUUUGAUCUCACAGCUGUUUAGGAUGCAGUCAUUAACGAGACACACACACACACACACACACACACACAUUCUUGUACUUGUUGCUUUAUGAGGUCUACCUUGCAGUUCAGCUGCUUGUACACACAGUUAAUAUGUGUCUGCUUCGCCACCUAUCUCCACCCACAAACUUUGAGCUACAGAAACCAUUCUGGGCUUCUAAAAUUCAGCUCAUUGAAGAUAUUAUGGGGUGUUUUGAGGAUUGUGAUAAUAAAUUGUAUUAAUGUGUUUAGCAGAGUCUUGUGUUCUCACAAGCUCCUUAUCAGGAAUAGAUACAGAGGAUGAGCGUCAGGGCCUACUUGGAGUCCUGUUUCCUUAGCUUCAAGCCUUCUUUCUCCUGCUAUAGUUAUGCAUCCAAGGUCCCCAUGGCAACCAAUUAGUGCACCUGGAGACACACAGCUGACUGGAAAGCUGCUUCUAAUGGCCAUAUGAGACACAUGAAGCCAGGCUCAGCACACAUAGCACUGGGGAUGACACUUAAAACCCUUUACUAGAGCGCUUGAAAAAACUUCAGCCCCUAUCUCCUCACAUGACCUUUGACCUACAGAAACCAUUCAGGGCUUUAAAAUUUGAGCUCAUUGAGGACAUUAUGGUGUGUAUUUAGGAUUUAUAUACAUUUAGAUUUUUCACAUUUUAAAGUCACUCAGUGAUGAUUUAUCAUUUAAUUUUUCAAACUAAUUUGAACUGAUUCAAACUGAUUCAAACCUUUCUAAUAGUUAAAAAAUUAAACUUAUGCCACUUCCCACCUUCCUGCCUUUUAAGGCAAUUUCCUUCUUCAUUCAAACUUUGUGCAAUUUUAGACAUUUUUCUAGCCUCUUCCAGCAUGAAUAAAAUUUCUUUUUAUAGAGCAUAUUCAUACUAUUUGUCCUUCAACCAAUUAAUCAAUUAUCCAACUUACAUUUCUUUCACACCCCUUCAACAGCUUUAACAUUUAUACCUUUCUCCAUGUUUUAUUAGCAGUUUAGCAUUGCUUUUUCAGCUUUCAGCACUCAGCAUUUCCACGCAUUUUCUGCAAGGAAAUGCAAUUUUUCUAGUUAAGUGGAAAUGCUGAUAGGCAUUUCCACUUAUUGUUAUUCUCCCGUUUCUUUAUUAUUAUUAUUAUUAUUCUUCCGCCGUUUUUCGUCCGCUUUCAACUCCUUCCCAGUUUGUCCGAUUUCAACCGUUCAAACUUUAAACUAUUCCACUCCUUCAGGACACGUUUGCUAUUACUUUUCACUUUUCUAACAUUUAUACUUUUUGUUUUUUUUAACUUUUUGUGCAAAAAUUUUAACAUUGAAGUCAAUGGGGAAAUCUUCCAAUUCUUCCUUUUAUUCUUCCACCUUCUAGACCUUAUAACUUCAGCAUACUUUCACCUAGAGACCUCAUUUUUGCUUUAAAAUGUUCAUUCACUUGUCGACUAUUAUAGUUGUACUCAGUUUUUUGAUAUCUCUUACAGUUUUUCCACAAUUUAGCUUUAAGCAACUUGUGGUUUUCAGCAAAUUUCAAGCUUUAUAAUGGGUGUGUAUUGGAGAGUUUAGAGUGAUGAUGUCAUCAGCUAGAGUGCAGACCUCGUCUCUGAUCGACAGAACCUCGCUCGAAUAUAUCGCUCCCACGCCCACAAAUCUCACUCCACUGACACAAAUAAUACAUCAAAAUGGAGGUAUAUGUGUCCUGCUUCUCACAAAAGAGGUUUCAAAUCAUUAAAUCGUACCCCUUGGCCAGCAGGUGACCAACUGUCCAAAGAAGGCGGAAAUCUCUCCCAUUGACCGUAAUGUUAUUUUUCUCCAAGAAAAUCCGGAUCAUCGCUCAGGCUCAGACUUUUUUAACUCGCUGUUGUGGCCUCAUUUUUCGGAGUACAGACAUGAAAAACACAUCAUUGUGUUCAUGAAGGGCGGAGGAUUCGUACGAUGUUCUUAUUUUCAUUCUGUGACUUAAGGAAAACACGCUAUGUGAAGAAGUUUAGAGCCUCUAAAUCCUCUGCAGUUCAGCUGCUUCUCAUUCAAACAGUAGGUCAGUGAUUUGCCUUUGAUCUCACAGCUGUUUAGGAUGCAGUCAUUAACGAGACACACACACACACACACACACACACAUUCUUGUACUUGUUGCUUUAUGAGGUCUACCUUGCAGUUCAGCUGCUUGUACACACAGUUAAUAUGUGUCUGCUUCGCCACCUAUCUCCACCCACAAACUUUGAGCUACAGAAACCAUUCUGGGCUUCUAAAAUUCAGCUCAUUGAAGAUAUUAUGGGGUGUUUUGAGGAUUGUGAUAAUAAAUUGUAUUAAUGUGUUUAGCAGAGUCUUGU
Molecule: non-coding RNA, 4365 nt
Organism: Xyrichtys novacula (pearly razorfish)
Lineage: Eukaryota; Metazoa; Chordata; Actinopteri; Labriformes; Labridae
Source: the annotation of a GenBank genome assembly